UACGUAGGGGGCGAGCGUUGUCCGGAAUUAUUGGGCGUAAAGAGCUCGUAGGCGGUCCGUUAAGUCAGAUGUGAAAUCUCAGGGCUUAACCCUGAAAUUGCAUCUGAUACUGGCGGACUUGAGGCAGGUAGGGGAAGGUGGAAUUCCUGGUGUAGCGGUGAAAUGCGCAGAUAUCAGGAGGAACACCGGUGGCGAAGGCGGCCUUCUGGGCCUGUUCUGACGCUGAGGAGCGAAAGCGUGGGGAGCGAACAGG
Molecule: ribosomal RNA, 253 nt
Filed under: uncultured bacterium
Lineage: Bacteria
Description: partial 16S ribosomal RNA
Rfam family: Bacterial small subunit ribosomal RNA
Source: RNAcentral